This 77-nucleotide transfer RNA is filed under the name Pseudomonadota bacterium. Its description in RNAcentral is "tRNA-Arg". It matches the Rfam family "tRNA". From Rfam's summary of the family: Transfer RNA (tRNA) molecules are approximately 80 nucleotides in length. RNAcentral also lists the same sequence under 4 other names. The record is from RNAcentral. Lineage: Bacteria; Pseudomonadati; Pseudomonadota.
GCGCCCGUAGCUCAGUUGGAUAGAGCAACGGACUUCUAAUCCGUAGGUCGCAGGUUCGAAUCCUGCCGGGCGUGCCA